Long non-coding RNA from Pogoniulus pusillus (Red-fronted tinkerbird), 2499 nucleotides. RefSeq lists it as uncharacterized. The transcript has 2 exons. The record is from RefSeq and is a predicted model, not a curated record. NCBI's taxonomy places the organism in Eukaryota, Metazoa, Chordata, Aves, Piciformes, Lybiidae.
GCUCCUGGAUUUGUUUUUUUCAGGAUUUAAACCCUGGAUUUCAGGAGACACAAAGGCAGGCUCUUGAACCGAUGCCAUGAUCUGCUCGGGCUGCCCCAUGUGGCCGAGUUCAAGGUUGUUCAGGGAUCUCCGGCUGUUUUGGCAGAGCCUGCUGCAUUUCAGGACCUCCAAGCCGCCUUCUCCGGGCUGCAGGAGAGUUGGGUGAACGCUGCCGGAGGUAGGUCCGUGUUGCUGCUCCUCCAGGCAGAGUCUCUUCAAACCUGCUGAGCAGUGCUUCAAGGUCGCUGGCGGCACAGGCUGAGCCAAAACGGACUCGUGGUGUUCUCUGAACAUGCUGAGGGGUCGCAGGCUCUUGGAUCACUGAAGCAGAGGAUAUGCUGGUAACUUGUAUGGGAGGCACACAGUGGUGCUCCAGUGAGGCCAGUUUCAACAAGCAAACGAUUCUGCAGAGGAGCAAAACCUGGUCAACAGUUAUGAGUUAGAAUGACAGGGGAGACUGAAAGCUUCUGGCCUGCCCUCCAUGGGAAGCUUUCUCCUUGUUCGGGGCAGCACAAGAGGGCCUUUGACAGGUUCUGGUUGCACAGGGAUGUGGUGCUAAGAGCUCAGACCUCUGCAGGUGGGAACUGUUCGUGGUCUCUUUCGGGGGGAUCCCAUGGAAACCAAGGGAGCUAUUUCUGGAGCCUGCUGAACCAGCAGCUGAGAUAUGAGGCCAGAAGCAGCAAGUCCACGCGAUUUGAAUUACAGCAUAGUUUGCUUUGGGAUUUUCUUAGCUGAAAGAGCUGACCCUGCCUGUACGGUGUAGGAGAGCAGAGGAUUUAUGGAGUGCCAGCAGAGUUCUGCUUCUAACUGCCUGCAGAACACUUGUGGACAACCACAAGUUUGUUACUGACAUCACAAUUUCGAUGCUUAAAAACGAGAGAAAAAGAGACUUUCUACAUUACAGGGCAGAGGGCGCAGGGCGCUGCCAUCUGCUGCCUCGUUCCGCGGCGCACGUCCCGCCCGAGCCCGCACUGCCGCGGCCAGAGCGGGGCCUGCGCUCAGCCUUUCCGCCCAGCGCCUGCUCUUUCCGCGUCCUUUCGCUGCCACCUAGCGGCAUCGAGCGGAAGUGCAGCUGCGGGGCUGAGCUCCAAGGCACCGGCACUGCAGUGACAUUUCACAACCAACUGUUCAAAGUCCUGCAUCUCUUCCCCCUUACUGCCCUUCCGCUGAUGCCUUCGAGGGGUGACACCGGGUGCAUGGUGGCUAUUGAAAUCUGAGUCCAGAGCCUGGUCAAUACCUUGCCUAUUAGAGGCCCAAUUAAUGUACCCUUUGCUCUUUGAACUUUGGGGGUAAGUUUGUACCACUGUUUUAAGUUGUCUUCUGCUGUUGUUCUCUACUACAAGCUGCAAGUAUCUCUACUGCACAAAACUCUUGAGGAGCUUAGAAAUACCUUUUUAAUACUUGGUGUUCAUACUGAGUCCUGAGGUUACUGUAAAGUCAGUCAGAUGUGGAGCACUCAAUGCUGUGUAUCAGCCUGGAGUGGCUGUGAAGCCCUCUCUCAGCAGCAAUGGAAAACGUCUGCCUGCUGCCUAGAAAGGAGGCUGAAGACUUCAAAGGCAAAGUUUCCUCCUCAGAGCGAGCAUUUGUGUGCAACAGCUUUUGAAAGUGUAACCUUUUCUUUCUCCAAGCAGGACCCCAAGUGCUUCCAUACAGGUUCGUGCUGGUAUGGACUUCAGCUGUGCAAAUGGUAUGGCAACCAAUGCAAACUGGGCUCAUAAAGAGCUGGAGAACAGACAAACUGGCUUCAAACAGGCCAAUAUUAAACCACUGGAACUAGUUCAAAUAAACCUUAGGUCUUGCUUCAUCUGAAAGGCUUCAGGCCUCCCAAACUAAACAGCUAAUUAGGUCAGACUCUGCACACAAGGAUCUGAGGCAAGUGGAACAUGUGAACGCUCACCAGGAAGGGGUCUGAUGGUGAGUCCAGCAUGCACACGUCCAGCCAGCACGGGGCUGAAGCUCAGCAGCUCCAACCACAGCCCCAGGCCCCCCAUUCAGAUCUGCUGCUUUAGCAUCCUUUUCCAGGCUGCAGAAAGCGAAAGCUUAAGGGGAAGAAAUAAGCCAAGUACGCAGAGAGCAACAGUUCAAACAUUUUACUAAAUCGAUUCACACCAUUGCAAAAUUGUAAAUAGAAUUAAGGACAAGAGGGCUUCUGCAGGUGUUUUCCUUCCAGAGUCAUCAUGAAGACAAUAAACAAACACAAACCAGGUCGAUAGCAUCUGCUCUUUAAAAAAAAGACUGGAACGCCACUCGGGGGUUGGUCAAGCACCACGACACAGUUACAAAAGGGGGCAGCCUGUUCCUUUCACGAGUAAAAGACUACAUACUCCUACCAGCUUCCUGCCUCAGCUCAUACUUCAGUAAAAUAAAACUAUAAAAUCUCCUAGAUUACACUAAAGUCAGACAAUGCCUGCAGUACAGUGCAUUAACAGCAGUAAUGCCAGCUAUCAGUGCCAACAGAAA